Molecule: long non-coding RNA, 464 nt
Filed under: Felis catus (domestic cat)
Lineage: Eukaryota; Metazoa; Chordata; Mammalia; Carnivora; Felidae
Description: lncRNA (ENSFCAG00000050181.1)
Source: RNAcentral
GAAAGAAGAUAAAAAAAAAAAAAGCAGCAGCCAUAUCUGUAGCAGAAAAGAGUCUCCUAGAAAAUUCUAGAAGAUCAACAAUGUUUCAUUGGCUAGAAUUCUGGCCAAGUGGACAUCUUGCAAGAAGGAAUUCUGCUGAGAAAUAGGUAAUCUGAAGCCUUCAGAAGAAAUCAAACAAUCAGAUUCUUAGAUUCUAAGCCCUUUUGAGUCCUGAGUGAACCAAGACUGUCAUCUUCCCAGGGUACCUCCUGACCAAGAAAAACAAAUACUUCAAAGACCAGAUGGUAAGUGUCUAGUGCUCACAUCUAAUCCAAACUCUGGAACCGCAUCCUCACAUUUCAUUCCACCUUGAACCUUGGCUGAGCUCCAGCAAGACUUGGGUUUUAAUGAAUCAUUCUUGAUUAGUCACAGCGCAAUACUCAAAUAGUCUCUUCUGGCUUAGAAAUCGUAGCUUGCAGAUCCUC